RNAcentral lists this ribosomal RNA (91 nucleotides) under Flavobacteriaceae bacterium. Its description in RNAcentral is "partial 16S ribosomal RNA". It matches the Rfam family "Bacterial small subunit ribosomal RNA", at positions 1 to 85 of the family's 1533-position model. Lineage: Bacteria; Pseudomonadati; Bacteroidota; Flavobacteriia; Flavobacteriales; Flavobacteriaceae. The record is from RNAcentral.
AAUUUAACGAUGAAGAGUUUGAUCCUGGCUCAGGAUGAACGCUAGCGGCAGGCCUAAUACAUGCAAGUCGAGGGGUAACAGGAAGUGCUUG